This 240-nucleotide ribosomal RNA is filed under the name uncultured Lactobacillus sp. Its description in RNAcentral is "partial 16S ribosomal RNA". It matches the Rfam family "Bacterial small subunit ribosomal RNA", at positions 122 to 355 of the family's 1533-position model. The record is from RNAcentral. Lineage: Bacteria; Bacillati; Bacillota; Bacilli; Lactobacillales; Lactobacillaceae.
UAACCUGCCCAAGAGAUCGGGAUAACACCUGGAAACAGAUGCUAAUACCGGAUAACAACCGAUGAUGCCUAUCAACUGUUUAAAAGAUGGUUCUGCUAUCACUCUUGGAUGGACCUGCGGUGCAUUAGCUAGUUGGUAGGGUAACGGCCUACCAAGGCGAUGAUGCAUAGCCUAGUUGAGAGACUGAUCGGCCACAUUGGGACUGAGACACGGCCCAAACUCCUACGGGAGGCAGCAGCC